RNA transcript from Salvia splendens (bonfire salvia), 2483 nucleotides. It is a transcript of the gene named phosphomethylpyrimidine synthase, chloroplastic, with no coding region annotated. NCBI's taxonomy places the organism in Eukaryota, Viridiplantae, Streptophyta, Magnoliopsida, Lamiales, Lamiaceae. The transcript is spliced from 7 exons. The record is from RefSeq and is a predicted model, not a curated record.
AAAGCUUCCUACUUUUUUAUUGUGACUAAUCAGUCAUCACUCUUCACCUCAUCGAUUCCAUCUUAUUUAUAAAUUGUAACAUGCCCACAAAAUUCUAAUCAGCCUUUCAUUUUUCUCUCUUUCGCUCACAAAAUAUCUCUUCAGAUAAGAUUUCAUCAGUUGAGGAUUGGUAUACCAGAGAUGGCAUCGAUGCAAACUAGCUUGGCAUCAGCUGUAUGCAACAACAGAAACGGCUCAACUUCUUCGAAGUUCCUCAGCAGCUCAUUCCUGCACGGAACGAACACUAUUGGACAGGUCGCAAGCAUAAGAAGAAAGGAAGUCUCCCCUGCUUUCUUUUCAGGCCCCAAAGCUACACUAACUUUUGAUCCCUCGACUACCAACCAAGAAAAGGUUAAGACGCGUAGUAGGCACACAGUUGAUCCGAAUGCCCCUGACUUCCUCCCACUUCCAUCGUUCGAGGAUUGCUUCCCUAAAAGCACCAAAGAAUACACGGAAGUCAUCCACGAGCAGUCGGGGACUGUGCUGCACGUUCCAUUUAGGCGCGUCCACCUUUCAGGCGAUGAACCCCAUUUCAACACCUAUGACACCAGCGGUCCACAGAACAUCAGCCCGCGAAUUGGGCUCCCGAAGGUGAGGAAGGAGUGGAUAGACCGAAGAGAAAAGCUUGGGGCACCGCGGUAUACACAGAUGUACUAUGCUAAGCAGGGAAUCAUAACUGAGGAGAUGGUUUUCUGUGCUGCUCGUGAGAGGCUCGACCCAGAGUUUGUUCGAUCCGAGGUUGCACGUGGCCGUGCAAUCAUCCCCUCAAACAAGAAGCACCUCGAGUUGGAGCCUAUGAUAGUGGGGCGGAACUUCUUGGUGAAGGUGAAUGCAAACAUCGGCAACUCUGCUGUCGUGAGCUCGAUCGAGGAAGAAGUCCACAAGCUUCAGUGGGCGACAAUGUGGGGCGCUGACACAAUCAUGGACCUCUCAACAGGGCGCCACAUACACGAAACCCGUGAGUGGAUCCUGCGCAACUCUGCUGUGCCCGUUGGUACUGUGCCUAUCUACCAAGCGCUGGAGAAGGUGGACGGGAUUGCUGAGAAUCUCACUUGGGAAGUGUUUAGAGAGACAUUGAUUGAGCAGGCUGAGCAGGGUGUGGAUUACUUCACCAUCCAUGCUGGCGUCCUGCUCCGAUACAUCCCACUGACAGCUAAGCGGAUGACGGGCAUUGUCUCUCGUGGCGGAUCCAUCCACGCCAAGUGGUGCCUGGCUUAUCACAGGGAGAACUUUGCAUAUGAACACUGGGAUGAUAUACUAGACAUCUGUAACCAGUACGACAUCGCCUUGUCAAUUGGUGAUGGAUUGAGGCCCGGAUCAAUUUAUGACGCCAAUGAUUCUGCUCAGUUUGCCGAGCUCUUGACUCAAGGCGAAUUGACGCGUAGAGCUUGGGAGAAGGAUGUGCAGGUGAUGAAUGAAGGGCCGGGACACAUUCCGAUGCACAAGAUCCCGGAGAAUAUGCAGAAGCAGUUGGAAUGGUGUAAUGAAGCACCAUUCUACACUCUUGGCCCUUUGACAACUGAUAUCGCUCCUGGUUACGAUCACAUCACCUCAGCCAUCGGAGCAGCCAACAUCGGUGCUCUUGGCACCGCGCUCCUCUGCUACGUGACCCCAAAAGAGCAUCUCGGAUUGCCUAAUCGCGACGAUGUGAAAGCCGGAGUCAUUGCUUACAAAAUAGCUGCACACGCAGCUGAUCUGGCGAAGCAGCACCCUCACGCUCAAGCCUGGGACGAUGCGCUCAGCAAGGCGAGGUUCGAGUUCCGGUGGAUGGAUCAGUUUGCUCUAUCGCUGGACCCGACCACUGCCUUGUCGUUCCAUGACGAAACACUGCCUUCUGAUGGUGCCAAAGUGGCACACUUCUGCUCAAUGUGCGGGCCUAAGUUCUGCUCGAUGAAGAUCACCGAAGAUGUCAGGAAAUAUGCAGAGGAGCACGGAUAUGGGGAUGCAGAGGAGGCCGUCCUGCACGGUAUGGAAGCCAUGAGUGCCGAGUUCUUAGCUGCCAAGAAAACCGUGAGCGGAGAGCAACACGGUGAGGUUGGAGGUGAAAUUUACUUGCCGGUGGAAUAUGUAAAAUCUAAGACAGGUUAAAGGGACGAAGAUUUACGUAAUAAACGAGGCAGGAUCUAGAGCCGGACUGUGGAGCUAUGUUGCAUUGUUUAGCUGAGUCAAGAAUGAUGUGGUUUGAGAAACCUCUUGAUGCAUUAGUCACGGCCUCAACGGCCAUGGCUGGGACCUGAUCAGGCUGAGAAAGUCCCUUUGAACCUGAACAGGAUAAUGCCUGCGUAGGGAGUGUGCCUUUUUUUGUGUGUUUGUGUGGUUACACAGAUAUGAAGAUCGACUCCCGGGUUCGGACCACACGCUCUUCCACCAGGUUCUUGUGUUAUGUCUCGUGUUUGAACGAUCAUCGAUCGACCCAAUUAAGUGAUCUACUAAGUUUAUAUAAA